RNAcentral lists this ribosomal RNA (468 nucleotides) under uncultured bacterium. Its description in RNAcentral is "partial 16S ribosomal RNA". It matches the Rfam family "Bacterial small subunit ribosomal RNA", at positions 28 to 507 of the family's 1533-position model. The record is from RNAcentral.
GACGAACGCUGGCGGCGUGCUUAACACAUGCAAGUCGAACGGAAAGGCCCUGCUUUUGUGGGGUGCUCGAGUGGCGAACGGGUGAGUAACACGUGAGUAACCUGCCCUUGACUUUGGGAUAACUUCAGGAAACUGGGGCUAAUACCGGAUAGGAGCUCCUGCUGCAUGGUGGGGGUUGGAAAGUUUCGGCGGUUGGGGAUGGACUCGCGGCUUAUCAGCUUGUUGGUGGGGUAGUGGCUUACCAAGGCUUUGACGGGUAGCCGGCCUGAGAGGGUGACCGGCCACAUGGGGACUGAGAUACGGCCCAGACUCCUACGGGAGGCAGCAGUGGGGAAUAUUGCACAAUGGGCGGAAGCCUGAUGCAGAAACGCCGCGUGCGGGAUGACGGCCUUCGGGUUGUAAACCGAUUUCGCCUGUGACGAAGCGUGAGUGACGGUAAUGGGUAAAGAAGCACCGGCUAACUACGUG